CAGGAUCUCUAUAAAUCAUAUCAUGAUCCAGAUAAGGGAUUAGUUCAUUCUGGAAUGAUCAGGGAAUUACUAAUAUCUUUCAGAAGAGCUACUGGGUUUAAACCUGGAAGGAUUAUAUUCUACAGAGAUGGUGUUAGUGAGGGCCAAUUUAGCCAGGUCUUGCUACAUGAGAUGGAUGCCAUACGAAAGGCUUGUUCUUCACUUGAGGAGGGAUACCUUCCACGCGUGACCUUUGUUGUGGUGCAGAAGAGACAUCAUACACGACUUUUUCCUGUUGAUCGUGGUCAGGCAGACAGGAGUGGCAAUGUUCUGCCAGGCACUGUUAUUGAUACUAAGAUAUGCCACCCGAAGGAGUUUGAUUUCUACCUGAACAGCCAUGCUGGAAUUCAGGGAACAAGCAGACCUACACACUACCAUGUGUUGUAUGAUGAGAAUCGCUUCACUGCUGAUGGAUUGCAAAUUCUGACUAACAAUCUCUGUUAUACUUAUGCAAGGUGUACUCGAUCUGUUUCCAUAGUCCCUCCUGCCUAUUAUGCCCAUUUAGCUGCUUUUCGGGCUCGAUAUUACAUUGAGGGCGAAACAUCAGAUGGUGGAUCUUCAAGCGGACGGAGUACAACAGCGAGGAGUAGGGAGUUCCAACCUCUUCCUGUGAUCAAAGAUAAUGUGAAAGAUGUUAUGUUUUAUUGCUGAGAUUCCAACGUCCCAUUUUGUGUUCCCUUUUUUUUUUGGCACAGUUUUUGCACAAAUGGCCAUUAGUCGUUGCAGUCUCGGUGCCUACCCUUAACCCAACUGAAUGAAACUGAUACUGUUACCUCUGGGUGUUCUUUUUGGCAAAUGGUAUUCGAGUUUAACUGUUAUUAUUUAUUUAGCUGAGGCUGGUUUUGGUUGUUGGGAUGGUGAGUGAAGCAACAUAGAUGCUUGGAAAAGUGAUUUCAUUUCCUUGUAAAUACUACUUUGCUUAAUGCUCAAUCUCAACAACCAAAACC
RNAcentral lists this unclassified non-coding RNA (986 nucleotides) under Hevea brasiliensis (rubber tree). Lineage: Eukaryota; Viridiplantae; Streptophyta; Magnoliopsida; Malpighiales; Euphorbiaceae. The record is from RNAcentral.